AUACGGAAGGUCCGGGCGUUAUCCGGAUUUAUUGGGUUUAAAGGGAGCGUAGGCGGGAGCUUAAGUCAGCGGUUAAAUGGUGCGGCUCAACCGUGCCCUGCCGUUGAAACUGGGUUUCUUGAGAGUGCAAGAGGCGGAUGGAAUUCAUGGGGUAGCGGGGAAAUGCUUAGAUAUCAUGAAGAACUCCGAUUGCGAAGGCAGUCCGCUGGGGCACGUCUGACGCUGAUGCUCGAAGGUGCGGGAAUCAAACAGGAUUAGACACCCUGGUAGUCCGCACGGUAAACGAUGAUUACCCGCUGUCGGCGGUAGACAGUCGGCGGCCAAGCGAAAGCGAUAAGUAAUCCACCUGGGGAGUACGCCGGCAACGGUGAAACUCAAAUGAAUUGACGGGG
Molecule: ribosomal RNA, 392 nt
Filed under: uncultured bacterium
Lineage: Bacteria
Description: partial 16S ribosomal RNA
Rfam family: Bacterial small subunit ribosomal RNA
Source: RNAcentral